UUGGGUUAAGUCCCGCAACGAGCGCAACCCUUAUCCCCAGUUGCCAUCAGGUAAAGCUGGGAACUCUGGGGAGACUGCCGGUGAUAACCGGAGGAAGGCGGGGAUGACGUCAAGUCCUCAUGGCCCUUACAUCCCGGGCUACACACGUGCUACAAUGGCAGGUACAGAGGGCUGCGAAGCCGCGAGGUGGAGCGAAUCCCAGAAAACCUGUCUCAGUCCGGAUUGAAGUCUGCAACUCGACUUCAUGAAGGCGGAAUCGCUAGUAACCGCGAAUCAGCAGGUCGCGGUGAAUACGUUCCCGGGCCUU
RNAcentral lists this ribosomal RNA (307 nucleotides) under uncultured Latescibacterota bacterium. RNAcentral's name for it is "bacterial SSU rRNA". It matches the Rfam family "Bacterial small subunit ribosomal RNA", at positions 1075 to 1382 of the family's 1533-position model. Lineage: Bacteria; Pseudomonadati; Candidatus Latescibacterota. The record is from RNAcentral.